CCUACGGGGGGCUGCAGUGGGGAAUAUUGGACAAUGGGGGGAACCCUGAUCCAGCCAUGCCGCGUGUGUGAAGAAGGCCCUCGGGUUGUAAAGCACUUUCAGUGAGGAAGAACGCCUGGUGGUUAAUACCCAUCAGGAAAGACAUCACUCACAGAAGAAGCACCGGCUAACUCCGUGCCAGCAGCCGCGGUAAUACGGAGGGUGCGAGCGUUAAUCGGAAUUACUGGGCGUAAAGCGCGCGUAGGUGGCUUGAUAAGCCGGUUGUGAAAGCCCCCGGCUCAACCUGGGAACGGCAUCCGGAACUGUCAAGCUAGAGUGCAGGAGAGGAAGGUAGAAUUCCCGGUGUAGCGGUGAAAUGCGUAGAGAUCGGGAGGAAUACCAGUGGCGAAGGCGGCCUUCUGGACUGACACUGACACUGAGGUGCGAAAGCGUGGGUAGCAAACAGGAUUAGAUACCCUUGUAGUC
Molecule: ribosomal RNA, 465 nt
Filed under: Vreelandella stevensii
Lineage: Bacteria; Pseudomonadati; Pseudomonadota; Gammaproteobacteria; Oceanospirillales; Halomonadaceae
Description: partial 16S ribosomal RNA
Rfam family: Bacterial small subunit ribosomal RNA
Source: RNAcentral